Molecule: ribosomal RNA, 253 nt
Filed under: uncultured bacterium
Lineage: Bacteria
Description: partial 16S ribosomal RNA
Rfam family: Bacterial small subunit ribosomal RNA
Source: RNAcentral
UACGUAGGGUGCAAGCGUUGUCCGGAAUUAUUGGGCGUAAAGAGCUCGUAGGUGGCGAGGUUAGUCAGGUGUGAAAUCUCGGGGCUCAACCCCGAAACUGCACUUGAUACUGCCUUGCUAGAGUACUGGAGAGGAGAUUGGAAUUUACGGUGUAGCAGUGAAAUGCGUAGAUGUCGUAAGGAAGACCAGUGGCGAAGGCGAAUCUCUGGACAGUUACUGACACUGAGGCACGAAGGCCAGGGGAGCAAACGGG